Molecule: long non-coding RNA, 739 nt
Organism: Aphidius gifuensis
Lineage: Eukaryota; Metazoa; Arthropoda; Insecta; Hymenoptera; Braconidae
Exons: 3
Source: RefSeq, a predicted model, not a curated record
GAACCCCAGUGAACCCCAGCUCGACAGCAUAAAAAUGAGCUCUCUUGUCAUUGCUUGUCAUCAAGGUCUGUAGAUUAAUAGACGGCUGGGAUCAGGUCGUCGCAUGACUCAGUGCGCAUGCGCGGUCAGCCUCGUUUGGUGCUAUUCCUCACUACUAAUGUUCACCACAUAAUGUAAACAAACAGUGUAUGGCAUGUCAAAAAAAUUUCCAUUUGAAAAUUUAAUCAUUUAUUUAUUGAAUAAAUAUUGUACGUCAAUGUUGUGCGAUCGGUUGCUUUCCCCAGAAGUUCAGAUCGUCGUCGAAAAUGAUCAACUGGUGCUGGUAUGAGUCAAAUAAAACCAAGCUCAAGGUUAUGUGAUAUAUAUUUAUGAAAAUCCAUUAUGAUGAAUCCCAAUAUGAACAACAUCGUCAGGAUGGCUCAAAAAAAAUUAAAACCAAAUGCAGUACCAACUUUGUUUGGUGAUGUUUUGAUAGAUUAUUUGAGUAAAAUCCACCAAAAUAAAAGUAACUACAUGAUGUUAGUUGGACUUCAUUUGAAUCACUAAAGCAGUUGUCAACAAUAAACUUAGGUAAAUCUGAUGUGCAAAUACCGGUAUUUUAUUUUUUGAAAUUCAGUGAAAUUUUCGAUACCAAUACUGUAUUUACAACUAUAGAGAUGUUACUCAUGGUAUUGAAAAAUAAAAAAUAUAUGAACAUAACUUGAUUUUAUUGUAUAAAUAAAAAUAAAUACAUACGAAG